ACUCAAAGGAAUUGACGGGGACCCGCACAAGCGGUGGAUGAUGUGGUUUAAUUCGAUGCAACGCGAAAAACCUUACCCACCUUUGACAUGUACGGAAUCCUUUAGAGAUAGAGGAGUGCUCGAAAGAGAGCCGUAACACAGGUGCUGCAUGGCUGUCGUCAGCUCGUGUCGUGAGAUGUUGGGUUAAGUCCCGCAACGAGCGCAACCCUUGUCAUUAGUUGCUACAUUUAGUUGGGCACUCUAAUGAGACUGCCGGUGACAAACCGGAGGAAGGUGGGGAUGACGUCAAGUCCUCAUGGCCCUUAUAGGUGGGGCUACACACGUCAUACAAUGGCUGGUACAAAGGGUUGCCAACCCGCGAGGGGGAGCUAAUCCCACAAAGCCAGUCGUAGUCCGGAUCGUAGUCUGCAACUCGACUACGUGAAGUCGGAAUCGCUAGUAAUCGUGGAUCAGAAUGUCACGGUGAAUACGUUCCCGGGUCUUGUACACACCGCCCGU
This 498-nucleotide ribosomal RNA is filed under the name uncultured bacterium. Its description in RNAcentral is "bacterial SSU rRNA". It matches the Rfam family "Bacterial small subunit ribosomal RNA", at positions 899 to 1397 of the family's 1533-position model. The record is from RNAcentral.